RNAcentral lists this long non-coding RNA (342 nucleotides) under Elaeis guineensis (African oil palm). Its description in RNAcentral is "long non-coding RNA (EGUI_LNC063054)". The record is from RNAcentral. Lineage: Eukaryota; Viridiplantae; Streptophyta; Magnoliopsida; Arecales; Arecaceae.
UCCUGAUAUCUACACAGAGAUGUUUAAUUGGAGUACCGAGAUCACCAGUGUGCUAGCACCUUACAGAUCUCGCUUCUCAUCCUUGGAUCUUGAUCUCUUCUUCCAGAUCUUGAAGAAGGAGAUCGCUGUAGGAACUCUUUCACGCAUAUCUGACGGGAUCUGAACUAGAUCACCAUGAAAAGAAGAAAAUCCCUUCUUUUGCUCUUCUUCUCUCUAUUUUCUCUUCUUAGAUUUGAUCUCCUAUUAGAUCUGGGCAUUGGAUGAAGGGGAGAAGGGAGGAGGAGUUGGGAGAGGAAGUUAUGAUGUAAGAAGGAAGACUCUCUUCUUAUCUCAUGCAUGCCC